RNAcentral lists this ribosomal RNA (483 nucleotides) under uncultured bacterium. RNAcentral's name for it is "bacterial SSU rRNA". It matches the Rfam family "Bacterial small subunit ribosomal RNA", at positions 328 to 802 of the family's 1533-position model. The record is from RNAcentral.
AUGAAACACUCCUACGGGAGGCAGCAGUGGGGAAUCUUCCGCAAUGGGCGAAAGCCUGACGGAGCAACGCCGCGUGAGUGAUGACGGCCUUCGGGUUGUAAAACUCUGUGAUCCGGGACGAAAAGGCAGAGUGCGAAGAACAAACUGCAUUGACGGUACCGGAAAAGCAAGCCACGGCUAACUACGUGCCAGCAGCCGCGGUAAUACGUAGGUGGCAAGCGUUGUCCGGAAUUAUUGGGCGUAAAGCGCGCGCAGGCGGCUUCCCAAGUCCCUCUUAAAAGUGCGGGGCUUAACCCCGUGAUGGGAAGGAAACUGGGAAGCUGGAGUAUCGGAGAGGAAAGUGGAAUUCCUAGUGUAGCGGUGAAAUGCGUAGAGAUUAGGAAGAACACCGGUGGCGAAGGCGACUUUCUGGACGAAAACUGACGCUGAGGCGCGAAAGCGUGGGGAGCAAACAGGAUUAGAAACCCUUGUAGUCCGAAGUUC